Molecule: ribosomal RNA, 924 nt
Filed under: Frigoribacterium sp.
Lineage: Bacteria; Bacillati; Actinomycetota; Actinomycetes; Micrococcales; Microbacteriaceae
Description: bacterial SSU rRNA
Rfam family: Bacterial small subunit ribosomal RNA
Source: RNAcentral
GAGCUCGUAGGCGGUUUGUCGCGUCUGCUGUGAAAUCUGGGGGCUCAACCCCCAGCCUGCAGUGGGUACGGGCAGACUAGAGUGCGGUAGGGGAGAUUGGAAUUCCUGGUGUAGCGGUGGAAUGCGCAGAUAUCAGGAGGAACACCGAUGGCGAAGGCAGAUCUCUGGGCCGUAACUGACGCUGAGGAGCGAAAGCAUGGGGAGCGAACAGGAUUAGAUACCCUGGUAGUCCAUGCCGUAAACGUUGGGAACUAGAUGUGGGGGCCAUUCCACGGUCUCCGUGUCGCAGCUAACGCAUUAAGUUCCCCGCCUGGGGAGUACGGCCGCAAGGCUAAAACUCAAAGGAAUUGACGGGGGCCCGCACAAGCGGCGGAGCAUGCGGAUUAAUUCGAUGCAACGCGAAGAACCUUACCAAGGCUUGACAUAUACCGGAAACGUCCAGAGAUGGUCGCCCCGCAAGGUCGGUAUACAGGUGGUGCAUGGUUGUCGUCAGCUCGUGUCGUGAGAUGUUGGGUUAAGUCCCGCAACGAGCGCAACCCUCGUUCUAUGUUGCCAGCACGUUAUGGUGGGAACUCAUAGGAGACUGCCGGGGUCAACUCGGAGGAAGGUGGGGAUGACGUCAAAUCAUCAUGCCCCUUAUGUCUUGGGCUUCACGCAUGCUACAAUGGCCGGUACAAAGGGCUGCGAUACCGUAAGGUGGAGCGAAUCCCAAAAAGCCGGUCUCAGUUCGGAUUGAGGUCUGCAACUCGACCUCAUGAAGUCGGAGUCGCUAGUAAUCGCAGAUCAGCAACGCUGCGGUGAAUACGUUCCCGGGCCUUGUACACACCGCCCGUCAAGUCAUGAAAGUCGGUAACACCCGAAGCCAGUGGCCUAACCCUUGUGGAUGGAGCUGUCGAAGGUGGGAUCGGUGAUUAGGACGAAGUC